This is a non-coding RNA of Trichonephila clavipes, 73 nucleotides long. The record is from the annotation of a GenBank genome assembly. NCBI's taxonomy places the organism in Eukaryota, Metazoa, Arthropoda, Arachnida, Araneae, Nephilidae.
GUCCCUGUAGCGCAGUGGAUAGUGCGUUGGACUUCUAUUUCAAAGAUCGUGGGUUCGAAUUCCGUCUGGGAUG